UAUGACUGACACGGAGAUACAAGCACAUACAUCACAAGAGGAUCCUGCUUCGUAUAAAACAAAAUUCAAGCAAAACUAAGUCAGGAAGACGAGUCAGAUAUCCUGAUCGCCUUCAAAGUGGUUAAUCAUGAAAUCUAGUGUGCAGUGAUUUAAAAGACGUUCAUGCGUGAUUCCAUUAAGACUAUAUUUUGGUUUUUUGUUUUUGUUUUCUGGUAAAAAAUGUGCAUUGACAAAGUGUUCCUUGCACAAAAAUGUGUCUCUCUUUCCGAUAAGUAUAAAUCACGUCCCUUAUGUUCACCAAAGUAGAACUGUUUAUAAAAAAGUCGUGAAACAGGAAUUUCAAUUUAUUCAAAUGUAAAUUAAUCAGACACUUUACAAAAAUAAUGUUCAAUUUACAUAUCAUAACAAUACAUCUAUAUUACAUCGGGAUUUGAUAUUUGGCAUACACAAUCAUUAGCAGGGGGUACUGCGGCGUGCACCUUUCUAGCUAUUUUUAAUAAUGAUUUACAAAUAUUUCUAGUUUUAAUGGCAGAGUACAUUAUAGAAUAUUUCAAGCCGGGGCUUAUGUAAUGUAUGAUACUUUAUGCCGAUCUGUUUAUGACACGUAUUUCUUUCGAAGUUUUUCGUCGAUAGUAUCAACAAAUGAUUUUACCGUAGAGUUUUAAAGGCACUCAGAUCCGCGAGUCUGUACGGGUUUGUCCCUGACUACCCUGUUGCCAUGACAGACCCAGGGUGACGAUGAAUUCAUAAUCGAAAGCUCAGUUAGUUCCCUUCUCUCAAACAAGGUGAAGCUCGCUCCCAUUAUUCUUAAUUUAAAGUGUUUUAGUUACUUACAUUGUUGAAUUUAAUUAUUCAUGCACUUCAUUUCGCCUUCUUGGUUUCUUAUUUAGGGUUAUAUUUUUUUAUAAAAACGUAUGCUAUUAUCGGAUAUUUAAUAAUAUUUUCAUCGGCUUUAAGUGUGUUUAAAAUGAAAUGAAUCGUAAAUUUGAAAUAUUUUUUGUCGGUUUUAGUGAAAUUACGUAGUCCUUUAAAUUAAACUCUUUAGGUUCAUGAUUUAAAAUAUUAUACUAGAAAUGCUAAAGGGCAUUUUCAGGAUAAUCUACUGUAGCACACAAAUAGUUUCAGGCAAUCUAACCGAGAGCUUCAACUUCGCGUGAAAAAACUCGACAUAAAGUUUUCUACGGAAAUUCUGCAAAAAUUUCUAAAAAUUUUGUGGGCAAAGAAUUACUUACGGUGGUCAACUUUGAACUCAGGAUGGUACACUUAUGUUCCGAGGAUGACGCUUUCUAAAGUGAGCACUGGAACAUCCUAAAGACGUCCUUAGGACAUCUUUAAAUAUCCUCGGACAUGCUUGGACAUUGACGUCUAAGUCCCAGGGUCGUUAUAAAGACAACUUUAGGGCGUCCUAAAGACGUUCUAUGUUUGGCCUAAAGUUAUCCCAAAGAUAUCCGCAGGACUAGUCGUAAAGACGCCGCAAAAAGACCUAUAAGAGACAUGAUUAUUUUUUCACGCUAAAAAGUGAAAGACCUCCCGGUGGGCACCAGCACAUCAAAUGGACGUCCUAAACACGUCUUUAUAUGUCAUGCGACAUGAAAAACUGUCGGUAAAUCUUCAUGCAUUCUGACCGAAAUUUCAUAUGCAGGUUACCUAUAAAAUCAUGGUGACAUGAAAAUAACACUUUCUGCGUGGAAACGCCCAUAUAGCUAGCUAGAAUAUACGCUUAGGUCUCCUCCUCGUAUAGCACCUGAGCCUCCUUCACCACCUCCACCUAAUCAUCCUGGAUGUGGUGUUAUUGAUGAAACAGAUCAGACCGAGCGUCUUGAUAAUAUUUUGUUACAAGAAAUAGAAAUGGUAGUUAUCGCCAAAAUGAACUAUAAUGAUCGUAUUUUAAUAUGACUGGACGGAUUCAUCAUAACAAUACUUGACCCGUAUUAUUUUAUGAGUGGAGUAUAUACACCAAUAAUUAAUUGACGGCUUAAAGUGAACGAGCAUGCCUUCCACGAUGGUUGUUCACUGAAACCAGUUGACUAUAUAAACUAUCCUGUGCAUGGAGAUUUUAAUCCUCUUAUGAGACUAGAUAACCGUAGACGCACAAAUGGUAAUUAAUCACGUCAAAUUGUAAAAGUAUGAACCAAACAAAUAAAUUUGAUUUAUGUAUAGCUUUUAUUAUCUGAUGUAAAU
Molecule: RNA transcript, 2181 nt
Organism: Belonocnema kinseyi
Lineage: Eukaryota; Metazoa; Arthropoda; Insecta; Hymenoptera; Cynipidae
Exons: 4
Source: RefSeq, a predicted model, not a curated record